RNAcentral lists this ribosomal RNA (440 nucleotides) under uncultured bacterium. RNAcentral describes it as "partial 16S ribosomal RNA". It matches the Rfam family "Bacterial small subunit ribosomal RNA", at positions 338 to 795 of the family's 1533-position model. The record is from RNAcentral.
CCUACGGGAGGCAGCAGUGGGGAAUAUUGCACAAUGGGGGAAACCCUGAUGCAGCGACGCCGCGUGAGUGAAGAAGUACUUCGUUAUUUAACGCUCUAGCAGCAGGGAAGAAAAUGACGGUACCUGAGUAAGCAGCACCGGCUCACGACGUUCCAGCGGCCGCGGUAAUACGGAGGGGGCAAGCGUUAUCCGGAUUUACUGUGUGUACAGGGAGCGUAGACGGCAGUGCAAGUCUGGAGUGAAAGGCGGGGGCUCAACCCCCGGACUGCUCUGGAAACUAUACGGCUGGCGUGCAGGAGAGGUAAGUGGACUUCCUAGUGUAGCGGUGAAAUGCGUAGAUAUUAGGAGGAACACCAGUGGCGAAGGCGGCUUACUGGACUGUAACUGACGUUGAGGCUCGAACGCGUGGGGAGCAAACAGGAUUAGAUACCCGGGUAGUC